Molecule: transfer RNA, 85 nt
Filed under: marine eukaryotic metagenome
Rfam family: tRNA
About the family: Transfer RNA (tRNA) molecules are approximately 80 nucleotides in length. Their secondary structure includes four short double-helical elements and three loops (D, anti-codon, and T loops). Further hydrogen bonds mediate the characteristic L-shaped molecular structure. tRNAs have two regions of fundamental functional importance: the anti-codon, which is responsible for specific mRNA codon recognition, and the 3' end, to which the tRNAs corresponding amino acid is attached (by aminoacyl-tRNA synthetases). tRNAs cope with the degeneracy of the genetic code in two manners: having more than one tRNA (with a specific anti-codon) for a particular amino acid; and 'wobble' base-pairing, i.e. permitting non-standard base-pairing at the 3rd anti-codon position.
Source: RNAcentral
GACAGGUGGCGGAGCGGUUGAACGCGCCGGUCUCGAAAACCGGUAUAGCCUUCGGGCUAUCGUGGGUUCGAAUCCCACCCUGUCC